CCAGAGUACAGCAUCAGCUGAGCUGGCCUUACUCUGGGGACUAGCUCUUUUGCUGGAAGCGGUUCCUGAUUUACAGCUCUUGGUUUCUCCCAGACAUGUUGGUGGGAGAGAUUUUGCUUUUUAAGGGUUGUUAGAAGGAGUAAAUUUUUUUUUUUUUUUUAACUAAAAAGAGCUCGCAGAAUUUCAGCAGUUUUCUGAUUUUUAUAUUUUAUUCCUCUUCCUAUCCAAUCCCUGCCUUUUGAGUCCAGGUGGUAAGUGCAUUUUCUUUAAUGUUUUUCCUGCUUUUCUUCCCAAAUGUGUCUUUUUCUUUGGGCUACUGUACCCUGCUUCCAGUGCUGUCCCCGGCAUAGGUCCAUCUCUGCAGAAGCCAUUUCAGGAGUACCUGGAGGCUCAACGGCAGAAGCUUCACCACAAAAGCGAAAUGGGCACACCACAGGGAGAAAACUGGUUGUCCUGGAUGUUUGAAAAGUUGGUCGUUGUCAUGGUGUGUUACUUCAUCCUAUCUAUCAUUAACUCCAUGGCACAAAGUUAUGCCAAACGAAUCCAGCAGCGGUUGAACUCAGAGGAGAAAACUAAAUAAGUAGAGAAAGUUUUAAACUGCAGAAAUUGGAGUGGAUGGGUUCUGCCUUAAAUUGGGAGGACUCCAAGCCAGGAAGGAAAAUUCCCUUUUCCAACCUGUAUCAAUUUUUACAACGUUUUUCCUGAAAGCAGUUUAGUCCAUACUUUGCACUGACAUACUUUUUCCUUCUGUGCUAAGGUAAGGUAUCCACCCUCGAUCCAAUCCACCUUGUGUUUUCUUAGGGUGGAAUGUGAUGUUCAGCAGCAAACUUGCAAUAGGCUGGCCUUCUGUUUGUUACUUUCAAAAGGCCCACAUGAUACAAUUAGAGAAUUCCCACCACACAGAAAAAGUUCCUAAGUAUGUUAAAUAUGUCAAGCUUUUUAGGCUUGUCACAAAUGAUUGCUUUGUUUUCCUAAGUCAUCAAA
RNAcentral lists this small RNA (984 nucleotides) under Pongo abelii (Sumatran orangutan). RNAcentral describes it as "retained intron". Lineage: Eukaryota; Metazoa; Chordata; Mammalia; Primates; Hominidae. The record is from RNAcentral.